RNAcentral lists this ribosomal RNA (376 nucleotides) under Burkholderia sp. 110R. RNAcentral's name for it is "bacterial SSU rRNA". It matches the Rfam family "Bacterial small subunit ribosomal RNA", at positions 971 to 1351 of the family's 1533-position model. The record is from RNAcentral. Lineage: Bacteria; Pseudomonadati; Pseudomonadota; Betaproteobacteria; Burkholderiales; Burkholderiaceae.
UUACCUACCCUUGACAUGGUCGGAAUCCUGCUGAGAGGUGGGAGUGCUCGAAAGAGAACCGGCGCACAGGUGCUGCAUGGCUGUCGUCAGCUCGUGUCGUGAGAUGUUGGGUUAAGUCCCGCAACGAGCGCAACCCUUGUCCUUAGUUGCUACGCAAGAGCACUCUAAGGAGACUGCCGGUGACAAACCGGAGGAAGGUGGGGAUGACGUCAAGUCCUCAUGGCCCUUAUGGGUAGGGCUUCACACGUCAUACAAUGGUCGGAACAGAGGGUUGCCAACCCGCGAGGGGGAGCUAAUCCCAGAAAUCCGAUCGUAGUCCGGAUUGCACUCUGCAACUCGAGUGCAUGAAGCUGGAAUCGCUAGUAAUCGCGGAUCA